ACGAUGGAAGCUUGCUUUCAGGCGUCGAGUGGCGGACGGGUGAGUAACGCGUGGGCACCUGCCCAGUAGUGGGGGACAACAGCCGGAAACGGCUGCUAAUACCGCAUAUGGUCUACGGACUAAAGAUGGCCUCUUCUUGAAAGCUAUCGCUAUUAGAUGGGCCCGCGUCAGAUUAGCUAGUUGGUGAGGUAAAGGCUCACCAAGGCGACGAUCUGUAGCUGUUCUGAGAGGAUGAUCAGCCACACCGGGACUGAGACACGGCCCGGACUCCUACGGGAGGCAGCAGUGGGGAAUAUUGGACAAUGGGCGCAAGCCUGAUCCAGCAAUGCCGCGUGUGUGAAGAAGGCCUGAGGGUUGUAAAGCACUUUCAGUGGUGAAGAAAAGCACGUGGUUAAUAACUGCGUGUGUUGACAUUAGCCACAGAAGAAGCACCGGCUAACUCCGUGCCAGCAGCCGCGGUAAUACGGAGGGUGCAAGCGUUAAUCGGAAUUACUGGGCGUAAAGAGUACGUAGGCGGUUUGGUAAGUCAACUGUGAAAGCCCCGGGCUUAACCUGGGAACUGCAGCUGAUACUGCCAGACUAGAGUUUGUGAGAGGGUAGUGGAAUUCCUAGUGUAGCGGUGAAAUGCGUAGAUAUUAGGAGGAACAUCAGUGGCGAGGGCGACUACCUGGCACAAAACUGACGCUGAGGUACGAAAGCGUGGGGAGCAAACAGGGAUUAGAUACCCUGGUAGUCCACGCCGUAAACGAUGUCAACUAGUCGUCGGUUCCGUUUCGGGGAUCGGUGACGCAGCUAACGCA
Molecule: ribosomal RNA, 800 nt
Filed under: uncultured bacterium
Lineage: Bacteria
Description: bacterial SSU rRNA
Rfam family: Bacterial small subunit ribosomal RNA
Source: RNAcentral